Non-coding RNA from Oryza nivara, 206 nucleotides. The record is from Rfam. NCBI's taxonomy places the organism in Eukaryota, Viridiplantae, Streptophyta, Magnoliopsida, Poales, Poaceae.
AAAAAUUCAAUUCCUGGAUUUCCGUGUCUAACGUUUGACCGUUUGUCUUAUUUAGAAAAUUAUGAAAAAAUUUAAAAAGAUAAGUCAUACAUAAAGUAUUAUUCGUGCUUUAUCAUCUAACAAUAAUAAAAAUAUUAAUCAUAAAAUAAUUUUAUAUAAAAUGGACGGUUAAACGUUGGGUAUGGAAACCAAACAAUUCAGUUUUU